GACGAACGCUGGCGGCGUGCUUAACACAUGCAAGUCGAACGGAAAGGCCCUGCUUUUGUGGGGUGCUCGAGUGGCGAACGGGUGAGUAACACGUGAGUAACCUGCCCUUGACUUUGGGAUAACUUCAGGAAACUGGGGCUAAUACCGGAUAGGAGCUCCUGCUGCAUGGUGGGGGUUGGAAAGUUUCGGCGGUUGGGGAUGGACUAGCGGCUUAUCAGCUUGUUGGUGGGGUAGUGGCUUACCAAGGCUUUGACGGGUAGCCGGCCUGAGAGGGUGACCGGCCACAUGGGGACUGAGAUACGGCCCAGACUCCUACGGGAGGCAGCAGGGGGGAAUAUUGCACAAUGGGCGGAAGCCUGAUGCAGCAACGCCGCGUGCGGGAUGACGGCCUUCGGGGGGUAAACCGCUUUCGCCUUAGACGAAGCGGGAGUGACGGUAAUGGGUAAAGAAGCACCGGCUAACUACGUG
This 468-nucleotide ribosomal RNA is filed under the name uncultured bacterium. RNAcentral's name for it is "partial 16S ribosomal RNA". It matches the Rfam family "Bacterial small subunit ribosomal RNA", at positions 28 to 507 of the family's 1533-position model. The record is from RNAcentral.